AUUGAACGCUAGCGGGAUGCUUUACACAUGCAAGUCGAACGAGUGGCGGACGGGUGAGUAAUAUAUCGGAACGUGCCCAGUAGCGGGGGAUAACUACUCGAAAGAGUGGCUACUACCGCAUACUAUUGGAGCUGCCGAUAUCGGAUUCGCUAGUUGGUGGGUUAAAGGCUCACCAAGGCCACGAUCCCUAGCUGGUUUGAGAGGUCGACCGUCCACACUGGGACUGAGACACGGCCCAGACGCCUACGGGAGGCAGCAGUGGGGAAUUUUUGACAAUGGGGGAAACCCUGAUCCAGCCAUCCCGCGUGAAUGAGAAGGCCUUCGGGUUGUAAAGUACUUUUGGCAGAGAAGCGGUAUCUGAAGAAUAAGCACCGGCUAACUACGGGCCAGGAGCCGCGGUAAUAC
This 405-nucleotide ribosomal RNA is filed under the name uncultured bacterium. RNAcentral's name for it is "partial 16S ribosomal RNA". It matches the Rfam family "Bacterial small subunit ribosomal RNA", at positions 30 to 526 of the family's 1533-position model. The record is from RNAcentral.